AGAGAGAGACAUGCGCGCAUAUCAAUAAGCGGAGGAAAAGGAACUAACAAGGAUUCCCUUAGUAACGGCGAGUGAAGCGGGAAGAGCUCAAAUUUGAAAUCUUCAAGGUUUUACCUUGACGAAUUGUAGUUUAAAGAAGUGUUUUCUGCUGAAGUUUUGGUAAAAGUUCUUUGGAAUAGGACAUCAUAGAGGGUGAGAAUCCCGUAUUUGACCAUUAUUUUCAGCUUUGUGAUACACUUUCAAAGAGUCGGAUUGUUUGGGAAUGCAGUCCAAAAUGGGUGGUAAAUUUCAUCUAAAGCUAAAUAUUGGCGAGAGACCGAUAGCGAACAAGUACCGUGAGGGAAAGAUGAAAAGAACUUUGAAAAGAGAGUUAAACAGUACGUGAAAUUGUCAAAAGGGAAGCGUUUGACACCAGUGUUGUUUUCUCGAAAAUCAAUUAAAAAUGGCUCGAUUUUGUAUUGCUUGAGACCUUAAAAGCUCACUGUACAUUUUUCGUGUCUUUUUUAAUGCACUUUUCGUUUAACAAGUCAACAUCAGUUUCUUUUGUUGUAAAAGGGUCAUUGGAAGGUGGCUUUCUUUUCGGAGAAAGUGUUUAUAGCCUUUGGCCUCUGCAAUCGGAGAGGACUGAGGUCUGCAGCGUAGACUCUUCGGGGUUAGAUACAUUUGUGCUAAGUUAUAGCUUUUUAUAGACAACUUGUUGACUAUAAUUAGUCUUGUAGCUUACUCGCUUAUGCUAUUUUACCUACGCUUAGGAUGUUGAAGAUGUAGCACAUCAU
Molecule: ribosomal RNA, 776 nt
Filed under: uncultured Neocallimastigales
Lineage: Eukaryota; Fungi; Neocallimastigomycota; Neocallimastigomycetes; Neocallimastigales
Description: partial large subunit ribosomal RNA
Rfam family: Eukaryotic large subunit ribosomal RNA
Source: RNAcentral